CGAAGGGUGCAAGCGUUAUCCGGAUUCAUUGGGUUUAAAGGGUGCGUAGGUGGGGCGAUAAGUCAGUGGUGAAAUCCUGCGGCUUAACCGUAGAAUUGCCAUUGAUACUGUCGCUCUUGAGUACGCUUGACGUGGGCGGAAUGUGCCGUGUAGCGGUGAAAUGCUUAGAUAUGGCACAGAACACCGAUAGUGAAGACAGCUCACGAAGGCGAAACUGACACUGAGGCACGAAAGCGUGGGGAUCGAACAGGAUUAGAUACCCUGGUAGUCCACGCCGUAAACGAUGAUCACUCGUGAUUGGCGAUAUACGGUCAGUCACCUAGCGAAAGCGUUAAGUGAUCCACCUGGGGAGUACGAUCGCAAGAUUG
RNAcentral lists this ribosomal RNA (368 nucleotides) under uncultured organism. RNAcentral describes it as "bacterial SSU rRNA". It matches the Rfam family "Bacterial small subunit ribosomal RNA", at positions 526 to 896 of the family's 1533-position model. The record is from RNAcentral.